CCUACGGGAGGCAGCAGUGGGGAAUAUUGCACAAUGGGGGGAACCCUGAUGCAGCGACGCCGCGUGGGUGAUGAAGGCUUUCGGUAUGUAAAGCCCUAUCGGCAGGGAAGAACAAUGAUGGUACCUGACCAAGAUGCACCGGCUAAAUAAGUUCCAGCAGACCCGGUAAGACGUGUGGUGCAAGCGUUACCCGGAUUUACUGGGUGGAAGGGGAGCGCAGGGGGGGGGUUAAGUCUGGUGUGAAAGUCCGUGGCCCAACCGCGGGACUGGAGUGGGAACUGGCCAGCUGGAGUGCGGGAGGGGUAGGCGGAAUUCCUGGUGUAGCGGUGAAAUGCGCAGAUAUCAGGAGGAACACCAGUGGCGAAGGCGGGUUACUGGACAGUGACUGACGCUGAGGCUCGAAAGCGUGGGGAGCGAACAGGAUUAGAUACCCCAGUAGUC
Molecule: ribosomal RNA, 441 nt
Filed under: uncultured bacterium
Lineage: Bacteria
Description: partial 16S ribosomal RNA
Rfam family: Bacterial small subunit ribosomal RNA
Source: RNAcentral